This 4410-nucleotide long non-coding RNA is filed under the name Mytilus galloprovincialis (Mediterranean mussel). Lineage: Eukaryota; Metazoa; Mollusca; Bivalvia; Mytilida; Mytilidae. The record is from RNAcentral.
GCUGUCACAUCUGGUAGUUCAGUGAAGGCGUUUAUUACCAUUAUAGACUUGGAGAAGAAACAAAUCAAGAAAACAAUUUCACUAGAUUCCAAAAGUUAUGGUAUAGCACUGAACAAUAAUCAAUUGAUUUAUUCCGGUUGCGACAAAGGAAUACGAAUGAUCGACCUCAACGACGAGUCGAUAAGUGACAUAGUCCGAGACAAAAUGCCCAGUGACUGUUACACUGCAACAGUUACGGACAAAAUAUAUCAUACAAACAGAGAAACAAGCACUGUAACAUGUUAUAAUCAACAAGGUAAAAUACAAUGGAUAUUCUUAAAUAAAAGCGUUCUAAAGAAUCCCUGAGGUAUAGAUGUGGAUAAUGAUGGCAACGUGUACGUGGUGGGGUUCUCGUCAAACAAUGUGGUAGUUAUCUCCCCUGAUGGACAACGACAUAGAGAAGUGUUGACAACAGAUGAUGGUCUAAGACAUCCUGUUUCACUCCAUUAUAGCGAACCAACGAACCAGUUGAUUAUCGCAAACUUCAAUUACAAUGCUCAUUUGUUUGAUGUUAUUUAAACAAAUUUAUAGUUAAAACUUCUUAAACUUUAGGUCAUUCUGAGCAGUGUUUAAAAUAUCUAGAAUUUUGAAACCUAUUUAGUUACUUUCUGACAGAAAUAUAAUAUGUAGUGUGUGUUUUAAACGUAUUCAUUUACAAAUUAUAUAUAGUUAUUGCUAUUAUAUCAUUAAACAUGUGUAUUUUAAUACAUUUAAUGGAAUGAGAACACAAGUAUCAUCACAAACCAGAAACGAUGUUGUCAGUAAAUAAAUUUUAUAGAAAUAAAACAACGAGAUGUGGUGUGAUUGCAAAUGAGGCAACUACUCACCACAGACCAAAUGACGUAGGUCACUGAGAUUAUCGCUACUAUUAAUAAACUACCAUCCAGCACCAAAUUUUCGAGAUACAAAUAUUUUUUCAUGACAAAAUACAACUAUUGACAAAGUAACUUAAUUGGGACAGGCACAUGCACAUAUGGCGAGGACGUCUUAUAUAAAUCGCCAAUAGAAUAACAAAAGUUAUACUAAAUUACAAAAUCAUUAUAAAUGAAUAUAAGUAAUUACAAAAUUAAUGAUAAUGACUGUAUAAUACAACAUGUUAGUUCAAACGCAUAUGCUUGAGCCGACAGGUCUCAUUAUUAGUUGUAGUCUGUACCUAAAAAGCAUAAAUGAUUGUCUAUAUCACUUUGUUUGUUGAUAAGUUGAGAGAAUAAAUUGUUGACAAUUGUCAUGUUUUAGCGAUCAGUAUUUUUCAUGAUAGAAGGUUUCUUGAUUGGUUUGGAAGAAGACAUGAUGUGACAUAGUUACUUCAGUGGUAAAUUUUAAGCUUGCGAGGUGUAGACUAUUCCUUAUAAGUUUACAGGAUGAAGGUCAACAUUAUUUUUGGUUUGUAGUUUUCUAUAAAUGUGACUUACAAUAUUUAUGAGGAUUGUUUGCACCUGAGCUUCAUCCAGUCUGUUUUUUGAUUGAGGUUUUGAUAAUGUCAAGUUUUACGCACCUCAUUAUAAUAAUAUCAGGAGAAAAUUCAAAUACCUAAAUAGGAGAGAAAUUUUAGUAUCUCCAAUAAUUUUAAAGGAACUGGCAUAUAUUUCACUAUAAGAAUUUCAAAUAUAUCUUUAUUUGGUAUCAGUUCUCCAAAACAAUAAAACUAUAAAUAGUAGUAUUAUUACGACACAAUUCAAUUAAAAACAAAAACACGUUUUUUUUUCCACAAAAAAAGAAAAUGACAAUGUAUUUUCAAAUACUGAAAAAAAUGCAAGCAUGAGAUCUUUAAAUCAGAGAAAAAUCAAACCUAAAAUAUAUUUCUAACUGCAGUGGCGGAUUCAAGGAGUGUAAACGUAGUGCAUAUCCUUAAAAUCAGACGUUAUAUCGUGUUUCCCAUGCAAUCGUUGAAAUAAUCAUCUUGCUACUCUUAAAUAUUUUUAAUCAUUUUGUCCAUGUGUAGAUCUGAAAUAUUUUUCUUUGUUUGUACUUUUUUUUUAUGCCAAACUGUGAUUGAUAUCGACAUUGAAGGACAAACACUCAAAUAGCAAGUGGUCAACUGAUGAUUUCAAUCAUGUUGACUUUUUUCUUGAUUUGUAACCAUUUGUUAUAAAUGUCUAGGAUAAAAUUUUAAGUUUGAUAUACCAACACAAAAAAAACGACAAUAAUACGGGGAAUGCAUAUUUCAAAGAAAAAAGGUAAUGUUUAUGAUUUAUUUGUUAAGUCCACGAUAAAUUCUUUCUUUUGUUAUGUUUUCAAUUCUUCCUAAUAAACUAAUGACUUAAACACGUGAAAUUUGUAGAAUGAUUUAUUUUACUUUCGUUUUGGGCUUGGGCAUAAUCCAUAAUUAUCUUCAUGUAUGUUAUGUCCCAAUUCUAGGACAAGUUAUUUUUUUCGUUAAUAAUAUGUUCAUUUGUACACGAAAUUCGAUCUAUAUAGUACCAUCAAUAAUUGGAACUACAUAUAUACACGUUUACGAAAUCAUUCAUUUAGCAGGUAAAGGAAAUGGAACUUUAUCUAUAUAUUUUCCAUAAUCUUUUAUAAAAGUUUAAGGCCCGGUUUUAUUAAUUCUAAAUAUUUGACCCUGUACUAUUCACAAGCUCCAAUCAUUCAAAUUCAUUUCAUUUUGGAUAUCAAAAACUGUGGAGGUGUAAUACCACCAAAUCAUGGUACGUCACAUCCGGUUGUAUACGAAAGUAGGUCUAAAAAAAUUCCCUUGAAUUUGACAGUUGUAGGUAAUUAAUUCUACAUUUUAUUGCAGUAAAAACAUUUCUGUGUCAUAAACAUAUGUCUUGGGUAUUUCAAAAUUGAGGUUACAUGGUGACUAAACCUUGUACACAGAUAAAAUAAGGGGAGACAUUUGAUUGGUUAACUUCCAAUGAUGGUUAUUUUCUUAUAUGCAAUGAAAUGUUAUGUGAAUUUUUUUCUAUAGUACUGGACAGGAUAAAACUUUAAUCAUGCCAAGUAAUUCUUUAUUUGAAACAUAGAUAAAUUCUGCACAUUUUUUUGAAAAGUGCAAAUUUAACAAAGACUAAUAGGGGAAAAUCAAUGGUGGUAUUACACCUGGAAUGAGAUAAAUGAGAAUUAUUUCGAUAGAUUGAUUAUUGAUAUUAAUUAACUCCAUUUUCAGUAAUCAUGGCUAUAUUAUGAAACCUGUUUAAAUUGAUGUAGAACACCAGAUAGCCUCAGGCAACUCUCUUCGACAGGCGAACUAAAUUAAGCUGCCAAGUUUGAUGUUGGGAGCUGAUAGAGGUGCUGUUGUUUUAAACUUUUAAAUCAGCUAUUGUUAUUUGCAGUAUGUGUGUGAAAUGGCAACAGCUACUGAGACUUGUGGUGUUUGUGAACUCCGUCAUAUCACCAAACCACCCAUAAUCUGGUGUUCAGAUGAUGAGGGACUAUGUACAACAUGGCAGGAGCAUCACAGUUUGUCUAAAGAAACCAGAAACCAUAUAGUGAUACCAAUUACUGAAUAUACGAAAUUACCAGCUGAUGUAAUAAUGAUUAGUCAAAACUGUAGUAAACACGACAAAAAGUAUCAAACGUAUUACCAGAAGCAUGAAUGCCCCUGAUGCAACAAAUAUAUCGUGGAAAGCCAUACCGAAUGUCGAGAUUUCGUCGAAUUAGAUGACGUCAUUCACAAUGAUAGUACCGACCGUUCAAACAAGACCCAUUGAAAAUAUAACGUCAACGAAACAAAAGACCAUCAAUAAUCAAUGACACUCAAUCUACGGAUUUUGCAUGCUGUCAGAUGGUAGAUUUGCAUUUACUUACUACUAUAAUUGUAAGGUAACUGUAUUUAACGUGAACGGAUUAAAGGAUUUUGAAGUGUAAUGUAUUUGAUAUAGUGAACAUCAGUGAAAGCAAUGCAUUGACUGUUACAUCUGGUAGUUCAGAAGAGGUGUAUAACCAUUAUCGACUUUGAGAAAAAACAAAUCAAUAAACAAUUUUACUGGGUUCGUAUAAUUAUGGAGUAUCAUUGAAAGGUAAUCGAUUGAUUUAUUCCGGUUACGACAAAGGAAUACGAAUGAUCGACCAUAACGACGAAUCUAUUAGUGGCAUAGUCCGAGACAAAAUACCCCCUCAAUCUUACAUUGCAACAUGUUUUAACAUGAUAUAUCAUAAUCAUACAAACAACCUACAAAACACUGUCACAUGUUAUAAUCUACAAUGGGAAAUACAAUGGAGAUUCCAAAAUAAAAGCGUUCUGAAGAAUCCUCGAGGUAUAGAUGUCGAUGGUGAUGGUAAUAUAUACGUGAUGAGGUACAGUUCAAACAAUGCUGUAGUUAUCUCUCCUGAUGUACAACGACAUAGAGAGGUAUUGACAACAGAUGAUGGUCUCAGUAACCCUAUGUCACUUCAUUAUAGUGGAUCAAAGAAUCAGUUGCUAGUCGC